This 269-nucleotide ribosomal RNA is filed under the name uncultured prokaryote. RNAcentral describes it as "partial 16S ribosomal RNA". It matches the Rfam family "Bacterial small subunit ribosomal RNA", at positions 524 to 792 of the family's 1533-position model. The record is from RNAcentral.
CACGUAGGAGGCAAACGUUAUCCGGAUUUACUGGGCGUAAAGCGCGUGUAGGUGGUUCUGUAAGUAGGGCGUGAAAGCUCCCGGCUCAACUGGGAGAGGCCGUUCUAAACUGCAGAGCUAGAGGAUGGUAGAGGGAGGUGGAAUUCCAGGUGUAGCGGUGGAAUGCGCAGAUAUCUGGAGGAACACCAGUGGCGAAGGCGGCCUCCUGGACCAUUCCUGACACUCAGACGCGAAAGCUAGGGUAGCAAACUGGAUUAGAUACCCUGGUA